GACGAACGCUGGCGGCGUGCUUAACACAUGCAAGUCGAACGGCAAGGCCCUGCUUUUUUGGUGUUCUCGAGUGGCGAACGGGUGAGUAACACGUGAGUAACCUGCCCUUGACUUUGGUAUAACUUCAGGAAACUGGGGCUACUACCGGAUAGGAUCUCCUGCUGCAUUGUGGGCGUUGGAACGUUUCGGCGGUUGGGGAUGGACUAGCGGCUUAUGAGCUUGUUGGUGGGGUAGUGGAUUACCAAGGCUUUGAAUGGUAGGCGGCCUGAGAGGGUGACCGGCCACAUUGGUACUAAGAUACGGCCCAGACUCCUACAUUAGACAACAGUGGCAAAUAUUGCACAAUGGUCGCAAGCCUGAUGCAACAACCCCGCGUUCGUAAUGACGUCCUUCUGGUUGUAAACAGCUUUCGCCUAUUACGAAGCUUUACUGACGGUAAUGAAUAAAUAAGCACCGGCUAACUACGUG
Molecule: ribosomal RNA, 468 nt
Filed under: uncultured bacterium
Lineage: Bacteria
Description: partial 16S ribosomal RNA
Rfam family: Bacterial small subunit ribosomal RNA
Source: RNAcentral